AGGAUCAACGCUGGCGGCGUGCCUAACACAUGCAAGUCGAACGAGAAAGGGGUAGCAAUACCCUGAGUAAAGUGGCGCACGGGUGAGUAACACGUGACUAACCUACCCUUGAGUGGGGGAUAACUGAGGGAAACCUUAGCUAAUACCGCAUAAUACCCACGGGUCAAAGGAGCAAUUCGCUCGAGGAGGGGGUCGCGGCCGAUUAGUUAGUUGGCGGGGUAAUGGCCCACCAAGACGAUGAUCGGUAU
This 248-nucleotide ribosomal RNA is filed under the name uncultured bacterium. RNAcentral describes it as "partial small subunit ribosomal RNA". It matches the Rfam family "Bacterial small subunit ribosomal RNA", at positions 26 to 286 of the family's 1533-position model. The record is from RNAcentral.